Molecule: ribosomal RNA, 206 nt
Filed under: uncultured bacterium
Lineage: Bacteria
Description: partial 16S ribosomal RNA
Rfam family: Bacterial small subunit ribosomal RNA
Source: RNAcentral
UGCGUAGGUGGUUUCUUAAGUCAGAGGUGAAAGGCUACGGCUCAACCGUAGUAAGCCUUUGAAACUGGGAAACUUGAGUGCAGGAGAGGAGAGUGGAAUUCCUAGUGUAGCGGUGAAAUGCGUAGAUAUUAGGAGGAACACCAGUUGCGAAGGCGGCUUUCUGGACUGUAACUGACGCUGAGGCACGAAAGCGUGGGGAGCAAACA